Molecule: long non-coding RNA, 1211 nt
Organism: Mercurialis annua (annual mercury)
Lineage: Eukaryota; Viridiplantae; Streptophyta; Magnoliopsida; Malpighiales; Euphorbiaceae
Exons: 3
Source: RefSeq, a predicted model, not a curated record
AAAACAAUCUUUAUUUUUUCUUUUUACUUAAAUUAUUUUGAAAUUUUACGUCCUUUUUUGACGAAAAAAAGAUCAACAAUAAAAUAGAUAAAAAUCUAUAAAUAUAGCCUAUUAGAUAAAAACUAGAAAAAGGGACCGCAUAAAUAAAAAAAUAUGUUUUUUUUAUUUUUGAUAUAAAAAUUAGUAAUCACUUAAAGGCAAUUGAGCUGCCCACUCACAAUUUAUAUCCAUAAAAAGAGCCAUUAAAUAAAAAAUGAAUAAUACUUAAACCUAUUAUAUAAUAAUUUUUAAAAAUGGAUUAAAUUGAAAACAAAAAUUGAAAGUACAUUUUAUUUUGAAUCAUCAUAGAUUUGAAAAUAAGUUGAACUUACAUUUGAAAGAGUUUGGUCUGAACUGGUCUAAACCCAGCGAUGAAUAUAAAUGUCAGGUUUAAGGGCCAACAAUUAGGGGACCGAGGCAAUCAUGAGUACACUUGUUCAUGGACCGGGUUUGGGUCAGCAUUGUCGAGCUUUUAUAUUUUUUGACUAGAUCCAAGUCUGACACGAGGUUUAUAUUUGAGAAAAUUACCGGGUGUACCCCAUUUUAUCAAAUCUUUGUAAAGUUACCUACUCAAAAGUUGGGUUUUCAAGCGUACUUUAAUUUUAACUUUUCCUUUUCAUAUUUACGCUCUUUUACACAGUGUGAAUAUUGUACCGUUUCCUUUGCUAUUUUCUCAUUCUCCAGCUGCUCCUUCCUUCUUUCUCUCUAAUUAUCUUCAGAAGUCAUAAACAAAUUAUUUUCAUUCUUAUUGAUUUAGAGUGUGGUUUCAAUCUCUACUUAAUAAGAGGUGAAAAUCAUCUUCAUCAUUUCCGUACAUGUCAUCUUGAGGCUAGAAAUCGUUCUUACCUUUAGUUUCAAACAAUCGUCUCUAUCGACGUUGUCUCUGUUGUUUGGUGUUGCCUGCUACUACCGGUGGUUUGAUUUGGUGUGUCAAAAUUGAAAAUCUUCAAUCUUGUUGUGAGAAGUGCGAGAGCAAGUCGACCACCCUAGUUUUGUGUCUAGUCUUCUAUAAAAAUUCUGAAACGAUAGUUAUUUGUGUGAACCACAAUGAAUCAGUCAUUUCUUUUUCUGAGCCUGGCAAAUUCGGAAUAAUAAUUCAUAACGUUUUUGCUAUGUGAACAUGAGAAAUAAUAUUACACUUUUUGUAUUUGUAAAUUAACGAUGGAUUAUGA